AACAAGUACUUGCACACUUUGCAUCCAAUCAAUUGUUUAUAACUUAAAUCAUAUAUAUAUACACCAUCUUUCAAUAUGCAAAAGCAAGAAAACCAAGUAAACCAACCUCCUCUAGGCUAUCCCAUUGAAUUUACUCCAAAUGAGAACAAAAAGAAGAAGAUGAAAGGCUGGCCAAGAAGUAAGCCAAGAGGAGAAAGAGGGUUCUUGGAAGGAUGCCUCUUUGCAUUGUGUUGCUGCUGGCUAUGUGAAGUUUGUUUUGACUAAACCUUUGGGGGGAUAUGACUCAUCUAAAGGAAUCAACUUGUGUUUGUCUAUUCAACUAGUGAUGCAAUAUGUACUACUAUAUGUGAUCCUUCACUUUUGCCCUUUAACUAUGUAACAAAAUAUGUUGUUAUAAUUUGAGACUUUGUAUUGAUGAAGUUUAUAUAUUUCUUUCUUGUUUAAUGAAUAAUAUGGUUCUUGUAUUCCCUCCUC
Molecule: long non-coding RNA, 474 nt
Organism: Solanum stenotomum
Lineage: Eukaryota; Viridiplantae; Streptophyta; Magnoliopsida; Solanales; Solanaceae
Exons: 3
Source: RefSeq, a predicted model, not a curated record